AGAGUUUGAUCAUGGCUCAGGAUGAACGCUGGCGGCGUGCCUAACACAUGCAAGUCGAGCGAAGCAAUGUUAAGGAAGUUUACGGAUGGAAUUAAGAUUGACUGAGCGGCGGACGGGUGAGUAACGCGUGGGUAACCUGCCUCAUACAGGGGGAUAACAGUUAGAAAUGACUGCUAAUACCGCAUAAGCGCACAGGACCGCAUGGUCCGGUGUGAAAAACUCCGGUGGUAUGAGAUGGACCCGCGUCUGAUUAGUUAGUUGGCGGGGUAGCGGCCCACCAAGACGACGAUCAGUAGCCGACCUGAGAGGGUGACCGGCCACAUUGGGACUGAGACACGGCCCAAACUCCUACGGGAGGCAGCAGUGGGGAAUAUUGCACAAUGGGGGAAACCCUGAUGCAGCGACGCCGCGUGAGUGAAGAAGUAUUUCGGUAUGUAAAGCUCUAUCAGCAGGGAAGAAGUUGACGGUACCUGAGUAAGAAGCCCCGGCUAACUACGUGCCAGCAGCCGCGGUAAUACGUAGGGGGCAAGCGUUAUCCGGAUUUACUGGGUGUAAAGGG
RNAcentral lists this ribosomal RNA (559 nucleotides) under uncultured bacterium. RNAcentral describes it as "bacterial SSU rRNA". It matches the Rfam family "Bacterial small subunit ribosomal RNA", at positions 8 to 567 of the family's 1533-position model. The record is from RNAcentral.